UACGUAGGUGGCAAGCGUUAUCCGGAUUUAUUGGGCGUAAAGGGAACGCGGGCGGUCUUUUAAGUCUGAUGUGAAAGCCUUCGGCUUAACCGGAGUAGUGCAUUGGAAACUGGGAGACUUGAGUGCAGAAGAGGAGAGUGGAACUCCAUGUGUAGCGGUGAAAUGCGUAGAUAUAUGGAAGAACACCAGUGGCGAAAGCGGCUCUCUGGUCUGUAACUGACGCUAAGGUUCGAAAGCGUGGGUAGCAAACAGG
This 253-nucleotide ribosomal RNA is filed under the name uncultured bacterium. RNAcentral describes it as "partial 16S ribosomal RNA". It matches the Rfam family "Bacterial small subunit ribosomal RNA", at positions 524 to 776 of the family's 1533-position model. The record is from RNAcentral.